This 303-nucleotide ribosomal RNA is filed under the name uncultured bacterium. RNAcentral's name for it is "partial 16S ribosomal RNA". It matches the Rfam family "Bacterial small subunit ribosomal RNA", at positions 507 to 807 of the family's 1533-position model. The record is from RNAcentral.
AGCAGUCGCCGCGGUAAUACGGAGGGUGCAAGCGUUAAUCGGAAUUACUGGGCGUAAAGCGUGCGUAGGUGGUGGUUUAAGUCCGUUGUGAAAGCCCUGGGCUCAACCUGGGAAUUGCAGUGGAUACUGGGUCACUAGAGUGUGGUAGAGGAUAGUGGAAUUUCCGGUGUAGCAGUGAAAUGCGUAGAGAUCGGAAGGAACAUCUGUGGCGAAGGCGACUAUCUGGGCCAACACUGACACUGAGGCACGAAAGCGUGGGGAGCAAACAGGAUUAGAUACCCGAGUAGUCCCUGUCUCUUAUAC